AGUGGCGGACGGGUGAGUAACGCGUGGGUAACCUGCCUCAUACAGGGGGAUAACAGUUAGAAAUGACUGCUAAUACCGCAUAAGACCACAGCACCGCAUGGUGUAGGGGUAAAAACUCCGGUGGUAUGAGAUGGACCCGCGUCUGAUUAGGUAGUUGGUGGGGUAACGGCCUACCAAGCCGACGAUCAGUAGCCAACCUGAGAGGGUGACCGGCCACAUUGGGACUGAGACACGGCCCAA
Molecule: ribosomal RNA, 240 nt
Filed under: uncultured bacterium
Lineage: Bacteria
Description: partial 16S ribosomal RNA
Rfam family: Bacterial small subunit ribosomal RNA
Source: RNAcentral